The sequence is a transfer RNA, 73 nucleotides long. It matches the Rfam family "tRNA". From Rfam's summary of the family: Transfer RNA (tRNA) molecules are approximately 80 nucleotides in length. Their secondary structure includes four short double-helical elements and three loops (D, anti-codon, and T loops). The record is from Rfam.
GGGGAUAUAAUUCAAUUGGUAGAAUUUAUGUUUUGCAAAUAUACUGUUAUCGGUUCGAGUCCGAUUAUCUCCA